ACGGGAGGCAGCAGUGGGGAAUAUUGGACAAUGGGGGAAACCCUGAUCCAGCGACGCCGCGUGAGUGAAGAAGUAUUUCGGUAUGUAAAGCUUUAUCAGCAGGGAAGAAAAUGACGGUACCUGACUAAGAAGCCCCGGCUAACUACGUGCCAGCAGCCGCGGUAAUACGUAGGGGGCAAGCGUUAUCCGGAUUUACUGGGUGUAAAGGGAGCGUAGACGGUUUGGCAAGUCUGAAGUGAAAUGCGGGGGCUCAACUCCUGAACUGCUUUGGAAACUGUCGAACUAGAGUGCAGGAGAGGUAAGUGGAAUUCCUAGUGUAGCGGUGAAAUGCGUAGAUAUUAGGAGGAACACCAGUGGCGAAGGCGGCUUACUGGACUGUAACUGACGUUGAGGCUCGAAAGCGUGGGGAGCGAACAGGAUUAGAUACCCUGGUA
This 434-nucleotide ribosomal RNA is filed under the name uncultured Clostridium sp. RNAcentral's name for it is "partial 16S ribosomal RNA". It matches the Rfam family "Bacterial small subunit ribosomal RNA", at positions 341 to 792 of the family's 1533-position model. The record is from RNAcentral. Lineage: Bacteria; Bacillati; Bacillota; Clostridia; Eubacteriales; Clostridiaceae.